AGCGAACGCUGGCGGCAUGCUUAACACAUGCAGGUCGAACGAAGUCUUCGGACUUAGUGGCGCACGGGUGAGUAACACGUGGGGAUAUACCUUACGCUGGGGGAUAACAUCGGGAAACUGAUGCUAAUACCGCAUACGCCCUUCGGGGGAAAGAUUUAUCGGCGAAAGAUUAGCCCGCGUCCGAUUAGCUAGUUGGUGAGGUAAUGGCUCACCAAGGCUCCGAUCGGUAGCUGGUCUGAGAGGAUGACCAGCCACACUGGGACUGAGACACGGCCCAGACUCCUACGGGAGGCAGCAGUGGGGAAUAUUGGACAAUGGGCGCAAGCCUGAUCCAGCCAUGCCGCGUGAGUGAUGAAGGCCUUAGGGUUGUAAAGAUCUUUCACCCACGACGAUGAUGACGGUAGUGGGAGAAGAAGCCCCGGCUAACUUCGUGCCAGCCGCCGCCGUAA
This 449-nucleotide ribosomal RNA is filed under the name uncultured bacterium. Its description in RNAcentral is "partial 16S ribosomal RNA". It matches the Rfam family "Bacterial small subunit ribosomal RNA", at positions 29 to 523 of the family's 1533-position model. The record is from RNAcentral.